GAGGCGCCCACCUGCGAUCGCGUGGGGGUCUGCUGAGUACUCCUGCACGUCCACCACACAGCAGUCUAGGGCAGCUUUCAGCUUCUUCAGCUUGGAGGCAGACGGCGCCACACGGAAGAGCCCCUGCAACAGCACAGAGGACACAGCAAGAGAAGGAACACAAGCAGGAGGAGCGGCAGAGGAAGAAGCAGCCUUCCCGUGGAGCAGGGAGCCCGAUGCCAGACCCUGGGACCAUGACCUGAACUGAGGGCGGAUCCUUAAUGAUUGAGCCACCCAGGUGCCCUGCCAGGUUUCAUUCUUUUUUUUUUUUUUUCCGUGUUUCAUUCUUAAAAUUACUUCUGAAUCCUUAUCAUGGC
This is a long non-coding RNA of Mustela lutreola (European mink), 356 nucleotides long. RefSeq lists it as uncharacterized. The transcript has 2 exons. The record is from RefSeq and is a predicted model, not a curated record. NCBI's taxonomy places the organism in Eukaryota, Metazoa, Chordata, Mammalia, Carnivora, Mustelidae.